GUGGAGAUUGUGUAGCCCGGAUGCUGCCUUUCGGUUGUGACCCGAUUGUUGGGGUUCGAGUCCCCGCCUCCAACC
Molecule: transfer RNA, 75 nt
Filed under: Pseudomonas phage vB_PaeM_C2-10_Ab02
Lineage: Duplodnaviria; Heunggongvirae; Uroviricota; Caudoviricetes; Vandenendeviridae
Also listed under: 21 other names
Description: tRNA-His
Source: RNAcentral